This is a non-coding RNA of Caenorhabditis elegans, 150 nucleotides long. NCBI's taxonomy places the organism in Eukaryota, Metazoa, Nematoda, Chromadorea, Rhabditida, Rhabditidae. The record is from Ensembl.
CUGGGGCUCCGGCUCCGACGCGUUGAGCGUAGUUUCCUUUGCGAAGAAUACGGUGAAGACGACCAACUGGGAAUUGGAGUCCGGCUCUUGAUGAGCGGGACUUGGCCUUUCCUCCGGUCUUGGCUUUGCCUCCCUUUCCACGUCCAGACA